GAUGAACGCUGGCGGCGUGCUUAACACAUGCAAGUCGAACGAUGAAGCCCAGCUUGCUGGGUGGAUUAGUGGCGAACGGGUGAGUAACACGUGAGUAACCUGCCCUUAACUCUGGGAUAAGCCUGGGAAACUGUGGCUAAUACCGGAUAGGAGCGUCCACCGCAUGGGGGGGGUUUGAAAGAUUUAUCGGUUUUGGAUGGACUCGCGGCCUAUCAGCUUGUUGGUGUGGUAAUGGCUCACCAAGGCGACGACGGGUAGCCGGCCUGAGAGGGUGACCGGCCACACUGGGACUGAGACACGGCCCAGACUCCUACGGGAGGCAGCAGUGGGGAAUAUUGCACAAUGGGCGCAAGCCUGAUGCAGCGACGCCGCGUGAGGGAUGACGGCCUUCGGGUUGUAAACCUCUUUCAGUAGGGAAGAAGCGAAAGUGACGGUACCUGGAGAAGAAGCACCGGCUAACUACGUG
RNAcentral lists this ribosomal RNA (466 nucleotides) under uncultured bacterium. RNAcentral describes it as "partial 16S ribosomal RNA". It matches the Rfam family "Bacterial small subunit ribosomal RNA", at positions 28 to 507 of the family's 1533-position model. The record is from RNAcentral.